GUAAUGAUCCUUCCGUAGGUGAACCUGCGGAAGGAUCAUUACCGUAGUGAGGUGCCGUCUCGGGUCCAGCGUCGCGCACCCGUGUCUAUUGUACCUUGUUGCUUCGGCGGGCCCGCUGUUUCGACGGCCGCCGGGGAGGCCUCGCGCCCCCGGGCCCGCGCCCGCCGAAGACCCCAACAUGAACGCUGUUCUGAAAGUAUGCAGUCUGAGUUGAUUAUCAUAAUCAGUUAAAACUUUCAACAACGGAUCUCUUGGUUCCGGCAUCGAUGAAGAACGCAGCGAAAUGCGAUAAGUAAUGUGAAUUGCAGAAUUCAGUGAAUCAUCGAGUCUUUGAACGCACAUUGCGCCCCCUGGUAUUCCGGGGGGCAUGCCUGUCCGAGCGUCAUUGCUGCCCUCAAGCACGGCUUGUGUGUUGGGCCGCCGUCCCCGGUUCUCCCCCGGGGACGGGCCCGAAAGGCAGCGGCGGCACCGCGUCCGGUCCUCGAGCGUAUGGGGCUUCGUCACCCGCUCUGUAGGCCCGGCCGGCGCCAGCCGACACCCAACUUUAUUUCUAAGGUUGACCUCGGAUCGAGUUACCUUGGCCGAGUACCCUGCUGAACUUAAGCAUAUCAAUAAGCGGAGGAAGAUCCGCAGUUUCCCCUACGGAAUUCAUUUUCCCUAAAUUUAUUUUCAUUAUUGUAGGGGUAGGUUUGUUGUGUGUGUUGAGUUUGUGGUGUGUUGUGUUUCGGGUUGAUGA
Molecule: small RNA, 736 nt
Filed under: Aspergillus fischeri
Lineage: Eukaryota; Fungi; Ascomycota; Eurotiomycetes; Eurotiales; Aspergillaceae
Description: eukaryotic LSU rRNA
Rfam family: 5.8S ribosomal RNA (bases 232-385)
Source: RNAcentral